GACGAACGCUGGCGGCGUGCUUAACACAUGCAAGUCGAACGGAAAGGCCCUGCUUUUGUGGGGUGCUCGAGUGGCGAACGGGUGAGUAACACGUGAGUAACCUGCCCUUGACUUUGGGAUAACUUCAGGAAACUGGGGCUAAUACCGCAUAGGAGCUCCUGCUGCGUGUGGGGGGUUGGAGAGUUUCGGCGGUUGGGGAUGGACUCGCUGCUUAUCCGCUUGUUGGGGGGGUAGUGGUUUACCAAGGCUUUGACGGGUAGCCUGCAUGAGAGGUUGAACGGGCACAUUGGGACUGAGAUACGCACCAGAAUGCUACGUGAGGCAGCAGUGGGGAAUAUUGCACAAUGGGCGGAAGUCUGAGGUAGCAACGCCGCGUGCGGGAUGACGGCCUUCGGGUUGUAAACCGAUGUGGCCUGUGACGAAGCGUGAGUGACGGUAAUGGGUAAAGAAGCACCGGCUAACUACGUG
This 468-nucleotide ribosomal RNA is filed under the name uncultured bacterium. Its description in RNAcentral is "partial 16S ribosomal RNA". It matches the Rfam family "Bacterial small subunit ribosomal RNA", at positions 28 to 507 of the family's 1533-position model. The record is from RNAcentral.